Molecule: transfer RNA, 81 nt
Filed under: Candidatus Pacebacteria bacterium CG10_big_fil_rev_8_21_14_0_10_40_26
Lineage: Bacteria; Bacillati; Minisyncoccota
Description: tRNA-Ser
Rfam family: tRNA
About the family: Transfer RNA (tRNA) molecules are approximately 80 nucleotides in length.
Source: RNAcentral
GGAGAGCUGGCAGAGUGGUCAAUUGCAUCGGUCUUGAAAACCGCGCCUUUCGGGGCCCGUGGGUUCGAAUCCCUCGCUCUC